ACGAAACAUAUUAAUGCCUUCUAUUCACUGUGCCAUCUGAUACACCGUAGAUGAACAGAGGGGAAAAGAACGGCUAGAUGAAAAUUCUAUCCGCGAGCGUACCUCAUACUGAUUAAAGUACUUAACUAUUUUUCAUCAAUUGGCUUUAAUUGGUAGCUGCGUGAGCGGGACAUUC
This 175-nucleotide small nucleolar RNA is filed under the name Kluyveromyces lactis. Its description in RNAcentral is "Small nucleolar RNA snR8". It matches the Rfam family "Small nucleolar RNA snR8". The record is from Rfam by way of RNAcentral. Lineage: Eukaryota; Fungi; Ascomycota; Saccharomycetes; Saccharomycetales; Saccharomycetaceae.